UAAUUUGCAGUACUUUCUUAUGUUCAAAAAGAAUUCAUAUAAAUUCAGUAUUUGGCAUCGUUGGUUUUCUUGGCUUUGUGCAUGUUAGACCUGGUAUUUCUACUGAUACAGUA
Small nucleolar RNA from Lagenorhynchus albirostris (white-beaked dolphin), 113 nucleotides. RefSeq annotates it as small nucleolar RNA SNORA8. The transcript has a single exon. Lineage: Eukaryota; Metazoa; Chordata; Mammalia; Artiodactyla; Delphinidae. The record is from RefSeq and is a predicted model, not a curated record.